AGGAGAAAGAAAUAAAUAACACAGUUAUUGCAUCUGAUAGCUAUUCUGCACUGGAAAGUAUAAAAUCUGGCAGGUCAUCUUUUAGAAUGGACAUAAUUAAUGAAAUUUUCCAUAAGGUAUAUAAUUUGAAGGUUAAAGGCAAAGAAAUACAAUUCAUUUGGGUUCCUGCUCAUGUUGGUGUGGAAGGGAAUGAGAAGGUGGAUUUUCUGGCAAAACAAACUCUAAAAUUAAAACAGAUAGAUCUACAAGUUCCAUUAAGCAAAAUGGAAGCUAAAGUAUACAUUAGGAAAUAUGCGUAUUCAGUAUGGCAGAUACAUUGGGAUGAUACUGAAUUAGGCAGACACUUAUAUAAUAUACAAAAUCAAGUUCUGGGAGGAGGGAGAGCAGGAAUCGGAGAGAGGAAAGUAUUAUAACUCGGAUGAGAAUAGGUCACACAGGACUUAAUAGUACAAUAUAUAAGAUUGGAAAGCAUCCAACUGGGGAAUGCAUAUACUGCUGUCAACAAGAAACAGUUGAGCAUGUACUUUUUCACUGUAUGAAAUAUAACAAUGAGAGACAUCACCUUAUUCAGUCACUUAAGAUAGCAAAACAUCAUGACUUUACAUUGCCAGGUUUAUUAGAGAAAACAGAUAGCAAGUUGUAUGAUGGUAUUAUUAAAUUUUUGAAAGUAAGUAAAUUAUACAAAAGAAUAUAACGUUUUGAUUGUUUGUUUGUUUAUUUGUUCUGUUUUAUUUUCUAGUUUGUUUAUUUGUUUUGAUGGGUUUUUUUUAUUUAUUAUUUGCUGUAUAUAAAUAAUAUCCUGAUCCAUACUCCAUUCCAGUCGGUGGCGGUAAUGCACCAAUAAGUUAGGUUGCCAACCGCCAAUAAACACCAAAGAAGAAGAAGAAGAAGAAGAAGAAGAAGAAGAAGCAGCGCGUCCUCGUUUCAUUCAUUCAUUGAACCUGGAAAUAAGCGUGAGCUUGCAUCAGGUCACCUUUAUGUGAUUUUUGAACGCGGGGCAUAAGGCAGUCGUAUGUAUUUGUUUUAUCAAGAAAUCCUUGUGUGUUGAUGGUGAUUGGCCUGGUGAUGCAGUCUUCAGAGUGUUGAAUGAGUGAGAGCGAAUUAGGUUCCUUUUAAAGAAGAACCGUGUGGUUGAUGUAUUCCUUUUUUCUUUUAUCCAGUUAAUUUAAAGUUUUUCAUCUUACUUCCAUGGCAGCUGCGGGGUCUCCUCCAAGGGUGUGACUGGCACUGGUGAGGUGGUGGGCAUUCUUCUGUGGUUCCUGGUGAUUUAUUUAUCCUUUUGAGUGCCGUGGAUUUUUGUACUGUAUUUGGAGUGUGCAUUGCAAGUAGUGGCUAUAUUUUUCUACACGCGUAUAGUUGUGCCUUGUUGUAGCCCUGUGGUUUGUCAUAAAUUUGUUUUGUUUUUGUUUUUUUCUCCUUGCUGAAUGAUGUGUACUCGUGUUUUAAACAUCUAAUUGUUUUUAUACAAAAUUUGGUAUUUAUUAUUGUGAAUAAAAGCUUGUACAAGCAAUACAUUCUUACUACAGCCUGUGGCCAGUUAUUCACCCACUUGUGGUGGGUUACAUAAGUAAAAGUUUGAGGUUCCUGUACUUGAGUAUAUCCAUGUUCUGCUACUUUAUAAUCCACAGCAGUACGAAUAAUGACAAACUAAUACACGUUGGCCAGUUUACAAGAGUGGUUACAUUUUGGAACUUCCAGUACAUUUGGCUGAAAAUACUUACUGUACGAUUUUAUGGUUGUGUACUUCAACAUCAUGAUGUUGGUGCUUUGAGUAUUUCAUCCAUCCCACACACCAUUCUUUCUUUGAUUGCUCGUUUCUAUUGUUUCUAAAUGUGUACAGCCCUCUUCCAACUUAUAAUAAUAAUAAUAAUAAUAAUAAUAAUAUCAGAAUCACACAGUGGAGAGGAUGUGGCCAGAAAUCAACAACCGGGUAAAUUACCCACUAAAAGAGGCCCUCAUACAACUACAAGAUCAGGAAGCAAUAGAUAUAGAGGACAGCCUGACAAGGUUCUGCACAUCCAAUCUGACUGGCCAGAUGUGCCAGAUUGGAAUAAAUCGAUUUGUGCAUUCAUGGAAUGCUCACAGGAUCCCAGGUAAGUUACAUUAUGCAAAUUGGAUUUGUUCAUAAUGAGAUGGAUCCAGAUGGAUUUGUUAAUAAUGCUUUCAGGCUAUUUUACAAACACAAACUACAUAGGUUCUAGAAGAGAUUUACUAUUAAACAUAAGAAAUUGUUUGUGUUGAUACAGGGAGAGGGAUACCAUAUCAGCUGGGACAGGAACACUGAGAAAAAUCACAGCAGAUCUUCUACCAGAUGCCAUGGUAGCAGCUGACAUGUAUGACAGGGACAUGGGAUCAUCCCUCACCAGAAUAUCUUCUUUCGGAAGUGACCCCUUUCUGUCUGAGGCAGACAAAGUGAGCAGAGCAGCACUUUUCACAGUAUUACCCCGACCUUGCAGUUGUUUUUGACAAUGUUGCCACUUGCCAAUUACAACUAUGUCCCAUUCAAACAGGCUUUGAUCUACCUCAUUAAUGUAACAAAGAGAUUUUCCUAAUUUCAUAUGUCUUGGAUCAUGUGGAACCUUGUCAUAAAUCGAGGGAUAGCCUCAGCCAUGAGGAAAAUUUUAGCACUUAUUUUCUGUUUAGUAUACAUACUGUAAAUAUGGACUCCAACAUUAUGCAGUCACUACUAUGUACUCUGUAACAGGGUGCAAGUAUUAAAUGAAUCUUGUUCCUAUUAAAACAAUUAAUUAAAUAAAUAAAUCCACUUUGAUAUUGUCAUUGUAUUAAUUACACAGUAUACACUGGACUGUUUUGUGGGGAAAAGUAUAUUUGAAAAAUAAUAUAUUAUAGAACCAGGAAGAGCUUAAUGAUAAAACACAAAAAUGUUGUAAACAAAUUAGGUCCAACUUUAGGAAUCACAUAAGAUAAAAAAAAAAAAACACCUUUAAAUCAGUGUGGAGUGAGCUCAAAACAACAAAGCAAUGUA
Long non-coding RNA from Megalobrama amblycephala (Wuchang bream), 2986 nucleotides. RefSeq lists it as uncharacterized. Lineage: Eukaryota; Metazoa; Chordata; Actinopteri; Cypriniformes; Xenocyprididae. The transcript is spliced from 5 exons. The record is from RefSeq and is a predicted model, not a curated record.